CAUCACUACACCUUAUACACGUAGUGGGACUGGUUUUCUCUCUCCAAGUGCCUCUGCAAAAGCUGGUGUUGAAACUUUAAUGAGGUCGCUUUCGUCUGAAUGGGGUCGAUAUGGGUUGCGUUUUAAUUGCAUUGCACCUGGUCCAAUUGAAACGGAAGGGGCCUUUUCUCGAUUGGACCCAACUGGAAAAUUUGUUGAUGAAGCCCAUAAGCGCAUACCAGCUGGUCGAAUAGGAGAAGUUGGGAACUUGCAAAUUUAGCUGCAUAUUUGGUCUCGGAUUAUUCGUCAUGGAUUUCAGGGGAGACCAUUGCUCUAGAUGGCGGAAGCUACCGAUUUGGGCAGGAGAAUUUAAUGGAUUGGGAAAAAUAUCUCCGAGCAGUGGGAUCACUUGGAAACUUUAAUACGAGGCACUACAAACAAAGAUAAAGCACUCCGAAGAGCUAAACUAUAAUUAAUUUGACUAUUGCCCUUGAUGGUGGUGAGUAUCGAUACAUGGCAGGAGAGUUCAAUAUACUUGAUAGGGUGCAACCAGAUCAAUGGGACUUAUUAGAAAAAUUGAUUCGAGCCAGUAACAAGAAAAGCAAGGGAAGUGCUUGAUGGGUAGGUUCAGUGUAUGUACAAGAAAUUACAUUUUACUGCAAGUGUUUUUACAAAUGUUUGUGAGGUAGUAAUAUUUUAGAAAGUGCAGUAUUUUAUGCAAGAUUAUAUGGUGCAAAUAUAUUUUGUAUACUGUGUUAAGGAUUUCAUAAAUCAUGAAAAAAAAAAGAUGUACAUCAUCAUUAUCCUUCAGUCCUAUUUACAUAUCCUGAAUUGUAAUAAUUUUCUCAAUGGUAGGGGACCCUCUUUCAUACAGUUACUAUUGAAAGAUAUAUCAUUACUUGAUCUUGUAUAGAGCUGCUUUAAUUGACUACAUUAGUCUGCUUCAGCAGAUCUCUUGCUGGUGGGGUCGGAUUGUUUUUCAUGAUUAGGUCCCUGGUACUCUAUUCUGAGUAGAUGACGAGAGUUCUUGUUCUUUGUUGACUUCAGUAGGGGUCAUGCUCUCCAUAAUUUUCUUCUGUCUUCAACCUCAUGGUAUCAUGAGCACAUUUUUGCCUCAUAAAACUGCUUGAUUUUUUCCUGGUGGUGAGGCUUGGGUCUCUCUUUUUGUACGACUGAUCCAGCACUGCAUGGACUUCCUUGUCGAUUUGAGUACCGGCUAUUCAUGAGCAUCUGGGUGACUUGGUUGAGCUCUUGGAGACCUGCCAGGAUGAACAAUGGGUGUAGGCCCUUCUAACAUAGGCCCUGACCGUGGUGUUCUUCUUGGAGACGAAGACAUCGAGGAAAGGGAGCUGGCUGCUGUUGCUUAAUUCAACCAUAUAAUUGAGCAAAUUGCACUGCUGGAACAUGUGCCAAACAAAUUCAACCUCAUCCUCAUGGUCUGCUUGCACAAAAAUCUCAUUGAUGUAUCUUGCGUAUUUGCGGGGUUCGCCUGCAGACACCCUCCACCAUGCCCAUUUGGAAGUCUGCAAACAGGACAAUUGAGAGGGGAGCCCAUUGCAACACUGUCCUUCUGUCAGAACAUUUGGCCUUGAGUGGAGAAACGGGCCUUCUUCAUACAUAUCUCGACGAGGCCCGUAGGGAUACUUCUGGGAUGUUCAGUGUGGGUGCAAGGACGUUCCCGUAGAUGUGGUCUAUGAUGAUAUCAAUGGUUCCGUCGACAGUAACAUUCAUAAAUAGGGAUUCUACGUCCAAGGAGGCGAUAGUACCUGUCCCUGGGGUGUCUCGGAUUUCUUCAAGGCUGUAUCGGCUUGGAGCAUAGGGUGUCAAAAUGUGGUUGAAGUGCUUGGCCAGUCCAUAUAUGGGGGGGUUUGUGAUUAGCUGAUGAAGGGGGAGAAGGGUUUUACAUUCUUUUGCAUCUUUGUUGCCGUUUAGGUAACCAAGGCGCUAGUCCCAGAUGAUGGUAGCUGCAUUGACACUGGUAAUGAUUUCAUUAGCUUCUUUCUUGAUUUCUUCAGUGCUGUCAGACAAAGUGGCAUCCAGUUUCUUCCUGACUGCCAUGCUGGUAAGAUGUGCCACUGCCCUUCCUAUUGAAGCCAGUGUUUUCUCCUCUUUUUGCAUAUUUUCUCUUUAGUUUGAUUUCCUGUAUUGUGAAAUAGUGCAAUUUUGUGUUUGCACUAGUUUUGCUUUUGAAAAUGCAAAUCCAAAACUCAUUUAAGCCACCCAAUCCUAUGGCAGCUCACCAAACUGUAGUAAAAGUAUACCAGUUGUAAUUGACCCUCUAUGGUUAAAAAAAAAAAAAAAAAAAAAAAAAAAAACACACUACUUCACAAAACAUUCAAAAACAGAGGUAACAAUGCUUUCUAUAUGCUUCUCAGAAGUAUUUGUUAGAAAAAAGUUACACCUGAAAUCUGACAUUUAAAACCACUAUGUACUCAUUACCAUUUCAAUGUAUAUCAGGAUGCAAAGGCAAAAGUCUCCUAAUAGGUACUUUGAAUUUUAGAAGGGUUAAGCUUCAUGUACUAAAGUUUAUUUCACUCAUGAGUAUGUGCCCACCUUGUUCAAGGAUUCUGUAAUCACAGAUCUAAGGUGCAAAGAAGGAACAAUAGCCAGAAGCAUAGCACCACUGGCAUAAACAAUCAAGUUUUCUGUCCAGUCCUUGCCACAUAUCUCUGCCUUUACUUUUGACUGUAAUUCACUUAUGCAGUAAUUUUCCAGUAUCUAAAGUAAAUAUAUAGUAUAUAAUAAUGAACUAUAUGUUUUUUUUUUUUUAUUAAUAUAAUUUUUCUUUAUCUACCAUUUCAAAUAAUGGUUUUUACACUUAAUUCAGAGGUCUCAUUGUGUUUAAUCCCAGCAAGCGGAGUUCUUAGAUACUCUCUUU
Molecule: long non-coding RNA, 2857 nt
Organism: Macrobrachium nipponense
Lineage: Eukaryota; Metazoa; Arthropoda; Malacostraca; Decapoda; Palaemonidae
Exons: 4
Source: RefSeq, a predicted model, not a curated record